This 221-nucleotide long non-coding RNA is filed under the name Capsicum annuum. RNAcentral describes it as "long non-coding RNA (CANN_LNC015600)". The record is from RNAcentral. Lineage: Eukaryota; Viridiplantae; Streptophyta; Magnoliopsida; Solanales; Solanaceae.
GAAAGUUGAAAUCUGAAAAUUCCAGAAAAAUCGCAAUCUGUCCAUUUUGUGUUCUUGGCCGAAAGUUGUGUUCUUGUUGUGUAUUGGCCAAUAUUUUUACUUGUUUUUGUUGUCUCUAAGUGUUAGUUUUGUUCUUCACUAACACGUUGAGUCUAUAUCUUAGAUUUGAGCUUUAAAUGUUGAAGUUGUUAAUGUGAACAAAGUAUGGCCGAUUGUUGUUG